Chelonoidis abingdonii (Abingdon island giant tortoise) is the source of this 144-nucleotide non-coding RNA. The record is from RefSeq and is a predicted model, not a curated record. Lineage: Eukaryota; Metazoa; Chordata; Testudines; Testudinidae.
GAGGCCUUGGCCACAGAGUGAGAUCUGUAAUGGUGGAGCCCGAGGGCUCUGCAACCUUCCGGCACCUUCAAAGCACAGUAUAUGCUCAUCUUAGCCAUACCUCCAUUUCUAUAAAACAUGCAUAUUAACGAGAAAAAUAAAACA